This 110-nucleotide small nuclear RNA is filed under the name Cebus imitator (Panamanian white-faced capuchin). The record is from RNAcentral. Lineage: Eukaryota; Metazoa; Chordata; Mammalia; Primates; Cebidae.
AUGCUCUCUCACUUGGGAAGCAUGUAUAUCGAAAUUGGAAUGAUUACAAAGAAGAUUAACAUAGUCCCUACGCAAGGAUGAUAUAAAUUUGUGAAGCAAUUCAUAUAAAA